This 392-nucleotide ribosomal RNA is filed under the name uncultured bacterium. RNAcentral describes it as "bacterial SSU rRNA". It matches the Rfam family "Bacterial small subunit ribosomal RNA", at positions 505 to 898 of the family's 1533-position model. The record is from RNAcentral.
GUGUCAGCAGCCGCGGUAAGACGUAUGGGGCGAGCGUUGUUCGGAAUUAUUGGGCGUAAAGGGCGUCUAGGCGGGGAAUUAAGUUAGGUGUGAAAGCCAUGAGCUUAACUCAUGAAUUGCAUCUAAAACUGGUUCUCUUGAGUUCGGGAGAGGAGAGCGGAAUUCCCGGUGUAGCGGUGAAAUGCGUAGAUAUCGGGAAGAACACCAGUGGCGAAGGCGGCUCUCUGGCCUAGAACUGACGCUGAAGCGCGAAAGCGUGGGGAGCGAACGGGAUUAGAUACCCCGGUAGUCCACGCUGUAAACGUUGUGUACUAGGUGUUAGCGGCUUGCCCGCUAGUGCCGUAGUUAACGCAUUAAGUACACCGCCUGGGGAGUACGCCCGCAAGGGUGAA